This 2075-nucleotide long non-coding RNA is filed under the name Physcomitrium patens. RNAcentral's name for it is "long non-coding RNA (PPAT_LNC010346)". Lineage: Eukaryota; Viridiplantae; Streptophyta; Bryopsida; Funariales; Funariaceae. The record is from RNAcentral.
AGUCCGUCCGUCCGUCCAUCCGCGAGGGUUUCGAACGUCGGAACUUUUCCCUCCAGCCGCCCUUUCUAUUGUAGAUGUUUCAUUCGUUAAUAUAGGCGAUGAAAUAACAUUUUAUCAUUCGUUCGAUUCUCACGGAUGAAAUGCUGGUGCCCAUUAUUGGUGCGAUUUUCUGAUGCUCAGGAGAUAUUUUUAGCUUACAUUUAAAACCUGUUUUACGGGAAUUGAGUUGCGUUAUGCGAGAAACAAUUUCAUCGUUCCAUGGAUAAGUUGAAGCUGCAGUGGAAUUGUAUGUAUUUUUGAGAUGAAGAUUAUUAUUAUUGUAAUUUAAUUUCUAGAAAAGAUGGUCAAAUGAAAAAUUUAUGAAAGGGAAAGAAAAUAUGAAUGCAACUUUUGUUGGAUAUUCUUUCAUAAAAAACCAAAUUCCUUGUGUGAUUGUUGUCAUUGUACAUAUAAAAUUUAUAACUGAGCAGUUUUUACAAAUAUUUUUUAAUAUAGCAAUAUUAAUCUUUAAAAAUAUUAUAAAUUAAAACCAUAUAUAUAUAUAUAUAUAUAUAUACAUACACUCACAAUUACACCCAUGUAUUAUUUUAAAGCAUAUUAUUAAGAAACUCUUGUAAUACUAUAUAUAUAUAUAUAUAUAUAUAUAUAUAUAUAUUAAUCUUCUGCUGUUUCUUUUCGAAAUUCAGUAGAUAAUUUGUUGGAUUUUUGCCGCAUUGCAUACUUUCAAAUUGUCUCCGAAAAGCUUCUGUGAUUCCUAAUUAUUAUGAAUAAAGAGGUAACACAAAGAAUACUUAUAGAACCAUCAAUUACAACCCACUAAAAACAAUAUAUAUAUAUAUAUAUAUAUAUAUAUAUUUAGUAUUUUCCAUAACUUCAAGUAAUACAGAUAGGAACUUUAAGCUCUUUUCUUAUCUUCUUCUUCUUCUGUUUUUUUUUUUUUUUUUUUUUUUUUUUUUGUUUGUUUUGUGUUGUAAGCAUAACAAAGGUACUAAAUGCAUUUCAAGUUUUUUAAUGUCCAAUACAACAGUUUGGAUCAAUUUAAAAAUUUAAUUUGACUUAAAAAUGCAACUGUGAAAAAACACAAACAAAAGAUUAAAUGAUAUACAACUCUCUAUUUAAUAAAAACAUAUAAUGAUUAAAAUUAGCUGAGAUAAAACUAUUGAUAUUUUAAUUCGUACUUUAAUUUAUGAUAAAAUAAAAUUUAUCUUGCAAAACUAUUUUUUAAAAUUCAAUAUAUCAAAAAAAUGAUUUAUAUUAUAAUUUUCAAAUUUUUGUAUUAUUUUUAGGAUUAAGCAUUUUAAACUUUAAUAGGCAAACUUUAGAAAAAGAUUUAAAUGCUUCACUAGAUUUAUUAUGUAAAAUUAUGAUUUCUAAAAGGAAUUUUAAGUUGAGUUUAUAUUAAAAGUAUCAAUUUCUAUCUAUCUUUAAAUUGAACACUUUAUAUAUAUAUAUUUUUCUCUAGUAUAAUGUUGAAAUAAUUCCUUAAUAAAUAUUAUUCUAAGCAACAUAAUUCAAUAUUUAUAAGAAUUAUUUGCAUUAAAAUAAUAAAUAAUAAAUAAUAAAUAAAAUUUAUUAAACAAUUAAUAGCCAUAAAAAAUAUUUCAAAAGAAAUGUAACAUUUGGAAAUAGUUGAAAUUUAAUAAGGGUUACAUGUUGACUUCAAUAUCUUUCAAUCUCCUUCAAAUUGUAUGAUUCUUAAGUUGUAUGAUUUGACUUAUUUAAUACAAGAAAUGUUGAGCUAAUAAAAAUAAAAAUAAAAAUCCUUUAAAAAAAUUAUUGGCUAAAGAAACUAGUCAACAAAAAAUUAAAAAAAUUAUUGUAAAUUUUGUAAGUUAGUAAUUUUAUAUAAAGUUAAGAACAUAGUUAAUAUUUACAAUUAAUGCUACACUUUUAUGUAUUUUUAUCUAUAAGACCGACACAAAUUAUACAGUUUAAUACAAAUGAAGUUAAAGAUGUAUUUAGAGAAACAUAAGGAUAUAUUAAUAAAAUGCUGAUUGUGUAAUUGCAUAAUCAAACUACAAAAAAAUACUUUCUGUGCAGACCGAUCUAAAAUAUAUUAUUAGAAAAUGACAACA